RNAcentral lists this long non-coding RNA (257 nucleotides) under Homo sapiens (human). Its description in RNAcentral is "HSALNT0185085". The record is from RNAcentral. Lineage: Eukaryota; Metazoa; Chordata; Mammalia; Primates; Hominidae.
GAUGUCGUAUGCAAGCAGUUGGGAUGUGGAACCGCACUUCACUUCGCUGGCUUGCCUCAUUUGCAGUCAGGGUCUGAUGUUGUAUGGCUUGAUGGUGUCUCCUGCUCCGGUAAUGAAUCUUUUCUUUGGGACUGCAGACAUUCCGGAACCGUCAAUUUUGACUGUCUUCAUCAAAACGAUGUGUCUGUGAUCUGCUCAGACCAGUUGCUAUUCAAACUCUGGAACUUCUGGAACUAUUUGCCUCUGGAAGAGUAAGG